RNA transcript from Mirounga angustirostris (Northern elephant seal), 4835 nucleotides. It is a transcript of the gene named TATA-box binding protein, with no coding region annotated. The record is from RefSeq and is a predicted model, not a curated record. The transcript has 9 exons. Lineage: Eukaryota; Metazoa; Chordata; Mammalia; Carnivora; Phocidae.
UAGCUUGUUGAGGCCGAGGCUGGAACUGGCGGAAGUGACGCUAUCAACGCGCGCCAGAAGUUUAGUCGGGUCGGGAAGGGGCGCCGGGGCGGGCGCUUAGGCCGCCUGCGGCUUAACUUCGUUUUCGCGGGCCAGCGGUGGUCUGCAGGGACUCCAGAUUGCUGUUUCUUGGUGUACAUGAAGAUAACGCAAACAGUUGAGGAAGUUGCUAAGAAGCGCGUACUGGGGAUGCUCUAGGAAAAGACUGAAUGCCGAGGCGAGUUCCAGUCCAAAGGUAUUUGAUUUACCAAGAAGAAAGUGAACAUCAUGGAUCAGAACAACAGCCUGCCGCCUUAUGCUCAGGGCCUGGCCUCCCCUCAGGGUGCCAUGACUCCUGGAAUCCCUAUCUUCAGUCCAAUGAUGCCUUACGGCACGGGACUGACUCCACAGCCUAUCCAGAACACCAGCAGCCUGUCUCUGCUGGAGGAGCAGCAAAGGCAGCAGCAGGCCCAGCAGCAGGCGCAGCAGCAGGCGCAGCAGCAGGCCCAGCAGCAGGCCCAGCAGCAGGCCGUGGUGGCGGUUCAGCAGUCGACAUCCCAGCAGGCAGCCCAGGGGGCCUCGGGCCAGACACCACAGCUCUUCCAUUCACAGACUCUCACCACUGCACCCCUGCCAGGCACCACUCCCCUGUAUCCCUCCCCCAUGACCCCCAUGACCCCCAUCACCCCUGCCACACCAGCCUCCGAGAGCUCGGGGAUCGUGCCGCAGCUGCAAAAUAUUGUAUCCACAGUGAAUCUUGGCUGUAAGCUUGACCUAAAGACCAUUGCACUUCGUGCCCGAAAUGCUGAAUAUAAUCCUAAGCGAUUUGCUGCUGUAAUCAUGAGAAUAAGAGAGCCCCGAACCACUGCACUGAUAUUCAGUUCUGGGAAAAUGGUGUGCACAGGAGCCAAGAGUGAAGAACAGUCCAGACUAGCAGCAAGGAAAUAUGCCAGAGUUGUACAGAAGUUAGGUUUUCCAGCAAAGUUCUUGGACUUCAAGAUUCAGAACAUGGUGGGGAGCUGUGAUGUGAAGUUCCCUAUAAGGUUAGAAGGCCUUGUGCUGACCCACCAACAGUUUAGCAGUUACGAGCCAGAGUUAUUUCCUGGUUUAAUCUACAGAAUGAUCAAACCCAGAAUUGUUCUUCUUAUUUUUGUUUCUGGAAAAGUUGUAUUAACAGGUGCUAAAGUCAGAGCAGAAAUUUAUGAAGCAUUUGAAAAUAUCUACCCUAUUCUAAAGGGUUUCAGGAAGACGACAUAAUGGCUGUUAUGUACUCCUGCCUCUGCACCCACUUGUUUUUAAAACAAAUCAGUUUUGGUACAUUUAAAUGGUGGUGUUGUGGAUGGCCCCGAUUUGGUGAGAAGAUGGAUGUUCUGUGGGUUGUAGCAGCCGGUGAAGCUCUCCAGCGUGCGUUCCCCGUAGGGAUGCCGGGAAGCGGUCUUACUUCUGCACGGAGAACUCACAGCGCUGUGUGAGCAAACUCCGGCCUCAGCUGCGGUAUUUGCCCCAGGGUACAUAGCUAGGGAACGCAAAACCAGGCUCUCGGCCAGAGUCCUUCAGUAUUAAAGCUGGGUAUGUGUACAGCCUGGUGAGGUGUUUGUUUUUCUCAUGAAUAUUACCUGGAAAUUUGUAAGUUCUUGGAUUUUAUUGUUUGGGUUAAUUUGUCAAAGUAUAUUUUCAAGCAGUUCAGAAGCACAUAAUCAGAAAGGAAGAGUUCUUUCCUUCUCUCCCUUCUGCUUACUUCCCCAGGUAUCCCCCAAGCCCCGUUCUGUGCAGCUUCUUUCCUUCUGGGCUGCUUUUGAUCCCAAAUUUAGAAAAUACUAAAGCAUUUUAUAUUUUAUAGCUUUGCUUUUAUUUUCAGUCAGUAUGUCGUGGAGUCUGAUAGCAUCACAGAUGUACAACAUCUUUUACGUACCUUUAUGUAUUCACCUGUUUCCUUAAUUAUCAGCAGUGUUUCAGCUGUAGGAAGCACCCUUAUAUGCCUGUUUGUGGUUCAGUGCAGACAUUUCUGUAGUGAACAUGCCUAGGAGAGGAGCCACUGCCAUCCAUCGGUCCAAUAUUAUCUCCUUCCAUCUGAAAAAGAAGUAUCUUUCCACAUGUAGGUCUUCUCUUAGUCAAGUUUUAUAAUUUUUUUCACAUAGGGCUUAUACAUUUCAUAAAAGUUAAUUCCUAAGUGUUCUCUGGUUCCUGGUAUUAAUGUAAUUUUUCAUUACCUUUCAAGUCUUAUUGACAUAUUUAUCUUAUUCCCAAUCGCUUUACGGAAUUCUGAGGCUUUCCCCUGUGAAACGGUACACACAGAAAACCUAACAAAACAAAUAUUUAGCAGAGUGUAUUACUCAGUAGACAUCUGCAACCAUCACUCAGAACCUUGCCCGUGUCCCAGGGGCCUCUCCUUCUAGUGCAGCCACAACACCCCCGGACCAAUAACCAUGAUCUUGAACUUUGUAGUCAUUUUAUAGUCAUUACCUAAAUUACUAAUAUGGGUUAUUCUUCCAUUUAAAAAAAAAAGUUGCUUUUCUGCCUGUCUUACUCCUUAUAUUCCCCCUCCCUGUCUUUUCCUUAAAAUGUUAGGCCAAAUUUACAGCUGGUAGUUUCUUACAGUAUGUGUUUUGCUAUUUUCAAACUCAUGGUGUAGUUCAGCAUGUUCCUGUGUUCGAUUUCCUGCAAAUGAGCAGCUACAUCCAGAGGCUUCUCAUUGAUCUGUGAAUUCAUUAGUGGGUUGCAAAUGAUGAAAUUCUACUUAUUUUCCAGUCGUUCAUUGGAAUACUUUUAUAAAGUGAUACGCUUCAUAUAGCAGGAUAAAUGCUGCUUUCCCUUUGAAAGUUUUCGAGAUUAAAUACCUCAUGAGUUCACAUUGAUAUAUCCAAUUCAAAUUCAAGACUACGGGGGUUUCAUUUAAUCACUUAUUUUUUUUACACCGAGAAUCCUUAAUUUUUAGACACACGGAAUGAUGUUAGAAAAUCCCAUGGUCAUUUACUUAAUCUUACGUUAUACAUGCAACAGUCUUAGAUUGCAUUAACACCAAGGUGAUUAUCAAAAGCACUUAAACAUACUUAUUUUGCUGUUAUCUCUGAAUUGUCAAGGGAUGAUGAGACCAGCGUUCGUGUCUAAUAAAAGGAGGGGUGAGCAGUCGGGUCAGGCAGCGUCUGAGCCAAACAGAAGUUUUGGUGGAGUACGUGGAUGGGCAAUAGUGAAUGACAUCCUCUACAGGAAGUUACUGGGUGAGACAUGAUCAUUUUAGGAUGUUUUUAAAUGCAUCUUGGCAUUUCCAGAAGUAACUGAGUUGCUCAAUGUUUUUAUGUAAAUUUUUGGUUUUAGGUUAUUUUUAUUUUGUAUUAUUUUUCAUAUGAUGGAUUAUUUUUCAACAUGGAUGCUAGUUGACAUUGUGACAUUUUCUUUCUGUUGAUUUGGACUAGUCUGUAAGUGGAAAGACCCUGUGAACCCUCACCCCAAUUGCCAGAACUUGGUAGGGAUACAUACCUAAAGGAUAGCUUGGCUGGUUAUUCCCAACAUACCUGCAAGAAUGUCCACAAUCAUCUGGUGAUGUCUCCAAACAGACCCUAAUGGGUUUGCUUAAAGUCCUUAGCAGUCAGGGCACUAUUCUGCUUUGGAAAACUUACUAUAACAUCUCCUGACUUUAAGAAUCAUUUACAAUUGGCAAUGUGAAGACCCCACACUAGUCCAGUUUUCUAGAAGCCACUGAGCUUCCUACCAAGUGUUGAUUCUUGCCACCAGAUGAUGACAACUUAUAAUGUGUCCUCCAGUAGCAAUGGGCUGUAUCACCAUAGUUGUAGGUCAUUCUCAGACUUCACUCUCGCAGCUUGAAAACUGUGACACUAUCCUCCCUCUUUACAGGUUGUAUUUAAAAGUAGCCUAGUAACAAAUCUCCCCGUCAGAAUUCCAUACUGGUUUCCCAUAUAGAGCUAUGUUUCACUGUAUUUCAUACACAUAUCUCUAUGAAUAACAUAUAUACCUAUAAUGUGGGCUAAUAGACCAGGACUUUCUCAUAAAAAUGUAGUAAAAUAACCAGGUAGUCAGUGACAUUAAUAAUGGUGUUAUAUGCAAGAAAGAUGCCCUUAUGGGAGAACAUGAGCCAACUUGGAUUAGCUGUUGGUUUUUAAGCACUGAUCAACAGCAGUGUCCCUUCAGGCCUCCUUCAGUGCUGGGCAGGCGUCACUGGUGUUGAAAGAACUGGGAACUGUCACAGCGUAAUCGUGAAACACUAGGGGCUGGAAGGAGCCUUAGCACGGUUAACAGAUUUAGCUGACCUCAGGGCCAGAUUUCCCUAGGGAAAUUCUAAUGGCCAAUUCCUGCCUCCUUACUUGGGUUUACUCCCCAUGUGUACACUGGCAUGAGAUGGGGGGCGGGGGAGAGAGAAAGACCAUCAUUCUUGCCUUGCAUCUCUCAUCUGUGAGCAGUGCUAUUGGCAGAUCAAGGUCAGUUGUGAAGUAGAGCUUCUCUUCGAAGUCAGUUAUUCAUCACAUUCACCAGCCUACUGGGGUUUUGUAUUUUUCCAGUGUUCUGGACUUCCAUGUGUCUUAGAGCCCAUGACAAUGACCUGAUUACCAGUCACGUCUCUUUGGGUUUUACCCAAAUAGUUUUCUCUUGGUUUUAACAUUGCAAAUGUUAGGAGGAAAAAUGCUCUGAGUAAUGGAUUGUCUUAAUGAGGAAAUCAACCCAUUUUUAUUGUAGAAAGAAACAAACACAUAGGUAAAACGAUCAUUUCAUAGUCCCACCAUCCAUAGUUAACUAGUUCCCACCGAGUAGGUAUCUUUCCAGAUUUCUGUUGACAUACAUAUGUAUAAAUACUUUUACAAAAA